This is an RNA transcript of Platichthys flesus (European flounder), 8210 nucleotides long. It is a transcript of the gene named nucleoporin 214, with no coding region annotated. Lineage: Eukaryota; Metazoa; Chordata; Actinopteri; Pleuronectiformes; Pleuronectidae. The transcript is spliced from 37 exons. The record is from RefSeq and is a predicted model, not a curated record.
GCGGCUUGUGUUUGUACAGUUCCCGAGUUUCAGCCCAAUGUGGCUUCACAUUAAUCUGGCUCACAUCCACACCAGGAGAGACACGAAGUGAAGCGGCAGGUUAUCCGUUAAGCAGCGGCCGCUCUCCGUCAGAAUGAGCGACGACACGGACUCUCCCCCGGAGAGGGAAAUGAAGGAUUUUCAGUUUCGUCAGAUGAAGAAAGCAAGAGUUUUUGCACCUGCUGGGGAUUUGCAUGAAGAAAGAUCCACUCUGCUCACCCUCUCAAAUAAAUAUGGCUUAUGUUUUGUUGGGCUCAACAGAACAUUCAAAGUUUACCUGACACAUGAUAUACUGGCUGCUGAUAGAGUUGAAGGAACCUCCAAUGAAAUAGUCAAUGGAAUACCAGUGUUGGCAGAGGUGACGGUGGAACUGGCUGUGCACCAAUUGGCUCUCAGUUGUGAUGAACUUACAUUGUCAGUAUGUGGUGUGUCUGAGGGAGGGGGGUUAUUCCUCACUUUCUACGAUGUCCGCACCUUCACUAACAAGGCGAAACAACAGAAGUUACCUUUUGCAUCACUGCAGGCAGCCGUAUCCUCUGGCACUAUGGUGCAGGACCUGAAGUGGAAUCCCGCCCAGGCGUCCACUUUGGCUGUCUGUCUGUCUGACGGCAGCAUGCUGAUUUUGGAUGUUACAGACAGUGUCAAAGUGCAGGCACAGCUACCAGCAUCGAGUGGCAUCACAUGCCUUAGCUGGAGUCCGAAAGGAAAACAAGUCGCUGCAGGAAAAAUGAAUGCCACAGUCAGUCAGUACACACCAGCACUAGAGGAAAAGAAGGUGAUCCCAUGUCCACACUUCUACAGUUCUUCCCCUGAUGAACCGGUCAAAGCUCUGGAUGUGCUCUGGCUGAAAACCUUUGUGUUUGCGGUGGUAUACGCUGCUGCGGAUGGAUCCCUUGAGACCCCUCCCGAGCUUGUGUUGAUCUCCCUCCCUAAAAAGGAUGAGAAGGUGGAGACGAAGCAUCUAAACUUUAGUGACACGGUGUACGGCAGCUGCACUGAACGGCUGCACCACUACUUCCUGAGCCAUGUAGAGGACUGGGACCUUGUGUUUGCGGCAUCAGCAGCUUCCAUUGAGGUCAGCGUCAUAUCCAGACAAGACGACAAGAUAUGGGAACUUUGGAUCCUUGAAGAUGCAAGUCGGGCUGAGCUUCCAGUGACUGGGACAAAUGAAGACACUCUACCGCUCGGCUUCGCCAUAGACUACACCAGCCAGCAGGAUAUCUGGAUCUCUGAAGAGAAGACCUUACCACCAGCGCCCAUAAUGCUCAUCCUAUCCACAGAGGGUUUACUCUGCCCGUUUGCGCUGCUCAACCUCAACCCCGGUGCGAAGCAGCUGGUCUCAGUCCCCAGCCCGCUCCCCCUGGAGGGGGAGAGACUGCCCAAGCUAGGUUCUGUGGCAGCCCAACCACCAAAAGCUGCUGCCUCCUUCCCAUCUGCCCCAGCCGUGUUCCAAAACCUCGGCCUAACAUCAGCAGCUGCUCCCACUCCUGCAGCUCCCGUUGCCUCUUCCGCCGCUGCUCGGUUCAGCUUUGCUACGACAGCUCCUGUGACGACGUCCUCGUCGGCCUUCUCUUUUUCUGUCCCAUCUACCGGCGCCCCCUCAGCCCCUUCAGCUUUCUCCCUGGGGGGAUCCACGCCCUUUGGCUCAGGAUCCUCAGGCUUUUCCUUUGCCUCCAAACCUCCCUCUGAUACUCCCUCAGCACCUUCUGCAUUUUCCAUCAGCACGCCUUCCAUCAAACCGUCAGCGGUAGCAGCUCCACCUCCUCCCAUCGCCUCCCCACUCACAGUGAAAAUGAAUCUGAAUGAGAGGUUUUCAGCAGUGGAGACUCCAGCACAAGCCCCACAGUCUUUGUCCUUCACUUCUCCAAUACCCAAACCAGUUGUCUCCAAUUCCAGUAGUUUGACCGCCCCUCCGCCCGCAGUUGCUAAGCCACCAGCUGUACUAACCCCAGUGCGUCCAGUUCAAACCAGCAUGCUGCCCACAGUUGUCCAGAAACCAACUCCUGCAGCCCAAAGCCGAAUCCAAGCUCCACAGACCCCUGUGGCACCUGUGAGGGCCGUGGAGAAGCAGCCACAGCAAAAGAAAGAGUCGGAUCACAUCAUGGCCGCUAUAUUUGAAGAGAUCGCACACUUCCAGCAGGAGUUGGAUGACCUUAAGGCAAGAAGCGCAAGAGCUGAUUUCAAGGUUGGCACCAACGAGGAGAUGAAGGAGUUGAGGAAGGAGUCAGAGGACCUACAUAUUUUCACGCUGGAGAUCAAGGAAACUACAGAGUCUCUCAAUGGGGAUAUUGGGACUCUGAAGACCACCUUAUUGGAAGGCUUUGCUGGGGCAGAAGAAGCCAGCACCCAGAGUGAGCUGAGCAAAGACGACAAUAACAGACAGCUGCUUUACAAAAAACCUCUGGAUCCGCGCAGUGAGGAACGACUCAAGGAGAUUCGCAGACUGUACCAGUACGUCACAUUUGCUGUGGAAGACGUCAACGAUGUGUUGAAUGUGGAAUGGGAGAAACAUCUGGAGAAGAAGAAAAAGUUGAAACACAUGUCCGUGCCAGGGCGUGAGGGUCUUUUCACAACACUGGCCAACAACCUGUACAUCAUCGAGCAGCAAAAGCACAGGUUGGACCAAUUGGUUAAAGACCUCAGUUCACUGAUGCUCUACAACAAGACGACUACAUCUACUGCAAACCAAAAUACUGCUGCAGCAACAACAGCUGGUUUGGAAAGUGAGCUAGAGAGUUUAAGGGAUGCACUCCUGAAAGCCAGACUGGACACUUCCCCUCCCAAAACCAAAUCCAGAUCUCCAGUCAAGAUCUCACCAGUGAAACAGUCCCAGCUACGCAACUUCCUGUCAAAGGGGCAGAUGCCUCCUGUCCGCUCAACUGCACCAGCCAACCUGUCUCGAUCUGCCUUCCUUUCACCUAAAUACUACGAGGACUUGGAUGAUGUGAGCUCUACCUCCACCAUGUCCCAGUCCCUGGACCCCAACCCGGCUCACUUGGAGCUGGAGGAAGAGGAGGAGGAGGACGAACUACAGCCAGAGCCCCUCCUUGUUAUACCCCAAGCACUUGCCACCCCUCGUCACCCCACCGUCGUGAGGACCCCCUCUAUCCAGCCUGGCUUUGGAGCAAUCCAGUCUACGCCUUUAAACAAAAUUCACCAAUUACAGGCUAUGGGCUUUGGACUCAGCCCUAUUGCCAGCCCUGUUCCAAGCAAUAAGAUCAACCUCAGCGGGCCUGACAGCACGGCUCUUGCCACAAAGACUGUCAAACAUGGAGCCCCAUCGGUUGAGAGGACCGGACCUGUCACCAACCCCGCCCAGCAGGCCGCAGCCACUGCUGCUCUACGCAGGCAGUUUGCCAAUCAGAAGACGGCUGUUGUCGGCGCUUCCUUGACAGAGUCCACUUUGAAGACGGUCCCUCAGGUCCUCAAUAUUCAAGAGCUCAAGGAGAAAGGGUCUCCUGUACCAGUUUCCAAUAUCAUCAGCUCCCCAGGUCCAGAUCCAGCUGCUCAAGUCUUUGCAACAGUUUCCUCCACGCAGGCUAAACGAAAUCCUAACCAAGGCAUCCAGACGAUGUCCGCUGAAAGUACAACCACCCCACAGACAGGCUUUGUGUUCAGUCAUGCAUCCAAACCUGAUGUUUCCGCGGCUCCUGCAAGCUCAGCGGAUCAAAACAGCAGCAAAGGUUUCUCCUUUGCUUCAGGGGCCACAGGCUUCGGUUUUGCUUCAGCUGCACAGGGAGCUGGAAUAUCACAAGCAAAGGAUGUGAGUAAAUUUUCCUUUGGUGGAAAUGGCAAAAUGGGAUUCGGCCAGGCUGGAGACGAAGCAUUCCCCUUCGUCCCAAAGUCCACCUCCCCGGCUCUACGCACGGCCUCGCCCACCCUGCCUCCAAACCCACCGGGAGAAGCAGCCAGACCAACCUCUACCGCUACAGCCCUCAAGGUAGAGCCACAGCCGCCUAAGCCAGUUGGAGGUGAGACACUGGGCAGUUUCUCCGGACUUCGCGUGGGCCAAGGAGAAGAAGCCAAAGAUGCCUCUGCUAAACCUUCUAUUGGCUCGUUUGCCUUCGUGGACAGUGGAGUUGGGAUGGGCAAGGGAGUAGCACAGUUUAGCUUUGGUACAGGUGUCCAAAAGUCUGCAGAAGAUUCCACAGGCAGUUUGUUUAAGCCUCCUGAAUCAGCUAGUAAGCCAGCCUUCGCUGUUCCCCAGUCAGGCUCAGCUACCACAGCUUUACCUACGUCUUUCAGCAGUCUCCUUGUAGAAUCUUCAGACUCCUCAGAGGAACCAAAAGCUACACCCCAACCAUCAGAAGCCACCCCACCCCCUGAAAGAGAAGCAGCUUCUGAAUCCAUUGUAGAGAGCGCCAGUGCCCCAGAAGUACCCGACUCUACAGGGGAGGCUGCCACAAUAGACACCACACCAGCACCAGCAGCACUAACACCCCCACCUCCUUUGGCCACAACUGCCCCUACCCCAGAACCUCCCCCAUUCAUCGCUGCCCCAGCUGAAGCCGCCCCUCCACCACCAUAUGGUGCUGUUCACACAAUCGAAGCCACAGCAGACACCACCAACACUGCUCCUGUGUCCACUUCACCAGCUGCCACCUUCCCUGCUUUGCCGGUCCCCCAGGUUGUACCAGCAGCAUUUCAGGUUCCCUCUUCUGACAAGCCUGGCUCCAUUUUUACUCAGUCUGCUCCUGUAACAACAGACAGCCACACCAUUGGAAUCACAACAGUAAUCAACACAGUUGCCAAUACAGCCACCACUCCCACCCACACAGUUGUGAGCACUGCAACAACUAGUGCUGCUACUGUCUUUGGGCAACCUGUUGCACCUCCAGCUUCCUCAGCCCCCUCAGCUCCAGCAAUCACAGGAUUUGGCUCAUCUGGGUUUGGUGCAUCACCUGGAGCUAAUUUUGGCAAAACUGUAUUUGGCCAGGUGAGUGGCUUUGGCCAGCCCGCCAGUAACACUGUUGCAGCUAGUGGCUUUUCUUUUGGCCAGACAGCCUUUGGAGCAGGCUCUACCAUUGCAACCACUGGAGGAGUAGGAGGGGGAGGAGGAAGUCUUUUUGGUGCUUCUACUACAAGUACCUUCCCGUUUGGCCAAGGCGGUGCCAACACAGACAGCAACACCGGGUCAGGACCGUUUGGACAGAGCACAGCCCCAGCGUUUGGCCAGAGCUCGGGAUUUGGGCAAGGGUCUGUGUUUGGUAGUAACACCACCACGUCUUCGUCGACAGGAUUCAGCUUUGGACAGCCCUCAGGCUUCGGUUGCUCUUCUGCCGCUCCCUCGUUUGGCCAGCAACCGAGCACUGGCAGUGUGUUUGGACAGCAGCAGCAGCAGCAACCAUCAAGUGGGAGUGUGUUUGGUUCAGGUUCAGCCAACCCUGCAGGCCCAUCAGCUGGUGGAGGAUUCUUCAGUGGCCUGGGAGGCAAACCCACUGAGGAGGCUGCCAACAAGAACCCAUUUGGCGCCCCUCCCGCCACCGGAGGAUUUGGCCAGCCUGCUCAGACAGGUGCCAACACUCUGUUUGGGAGUAGUGGUGCCAAGGCCUUUGGUUUUGGACAGACCUCCUUUGGUGAGCAGAAACCCAGUGGGACCUUCAGCACUGGAGGAGGGAGUGUCGCAUCCCAGGGUUUUGGCUCCUUCGCUUCUCCGACAAAACCAGGUGGAUUUGGCAGCGCUCCAGUGUUUGGGAGUCCCCCUGGCUUCGGUAGUUCUCCAGCAUUUGGAGGUGCUGCGUCAUUCGGCGCAAACCCUUCAUUCAACAACAUGGUUUCCUCCGCUGGGAAAGUGUUUGGAGAGGGAACCACGGCCUCCAGCAUGGGAGGAUUUGGGUUUGCCUCACCUCCCCCCGCCCCGUCCUUUGGUGCACUAGCUAAUCAGAACCCUCCGUCAUUUGGGAACUUGGCCCAGCAGGGCUCUGGGUUUGGAGUUCAGCCCAGCAGCUUCUCAGGGUUUGGACAGCAGCCACAGGCAGGAGAACAAGAAAUGAUGUGAGAAAAGUCAUACAACAUAAAAUAGUCAGACAAGCAAUGGAUUCUCUGGGAACACCUUUGGCUCUUCAAACCAAUCAAGCUCACAAACAUUUGCCAGUUGGAGAAGCUAGUUUUAUUUAACCUCCAUGAGCUACAGUACUUCCUGCAAUCAAGUCCUUUGUGCCACACAAUGAGAGGAGAGACAGGGGAAGACUGUGGUGCAUUUGGGUUCAAGGGGUAAAUAAAGUAAAUUAGAAAAUAGUUUUACGCAUAUAUUUUUUUUUUACAGAAACUUAUGUAUGUUUGGAAAAAAACACACAAGAUUUCAACCAGCUUGCAGAGUGUGGCUGAUUAUCUGGUCUUAAUAUUUAUUGGGAAUAAGAAAGUUAAGUAUUUAGAACUUGACGUCAAUACAAACAAGACCAGUCAGUGAGAAGUACCUGGAAAAACAGAUUCUCAGCAAUAUCUUUGACAAAUAGUCAUUUUGAUUUGACCUGUCACAGAAAGUGUAGUAACAUACAUUGAUGUAGUUCCCUGAUUUAAGUAUCAUUGCAUUCAAUGUUCCAGUCAUACUCCUGAGUAAUGUUGCCUUCUGUUCAGCAUUUUAAAAUUGUAAUGUCUUUACUUUGACACAUCACAAUGUACAAAGAGAAAUGUUCAGAAGUAAAACUCUAAACUGUCUUUAAUGGGAUUAUAUAGAAAGGUGUUCACAGCAUCUAAUGUUCCACACAGUGUUAAACAGUAAUUUGUCAAAUGUACACCCAUGAAGAAUAUAUCAAAAUAGAACAUUCUGAGCCUUGCUAAAAAUAAUUGUGAUUUAAUUUAAAAAAAACUAAUAUUUUUGCAGUAAGUCCUCUUUAUGUAUAUUUUUACACAACACAAUAGGAAAUAAAUCAAAUGUCUCAAGGUGUCUCUGCUCUGAACUCCCUUAGUACCACAGCUUAAUUGUGAAUCGUCACAAUAACGACUCAUCAAUUAUGUGUUGUCUUUCCAGUAAAUGUCGCGUUAUGGUUUAAUUUUCUUGCAAAAAAUCGAGGACAAAAGUGAACAUUGUCUAAUCAUGAUGUGACUCAUUCCCUCAUGGGGGACUUCUUAAUGGUCUGGGAAUGAAUUCAAGCAACAGCUGAACGUUUUAAUCACAAACGAAACCUUUUCCAACGCCUUCAUCCUUAUCCUUAUAUCCCUGAGAAAUAAUCUUGCAGAAGGGGAACAUAAUCAUUGUAUUGAUUUUUAUAUGUAAAGCAAAGCAUCUUGAUAUGGUUUGUAUUCGUCCUUCUCAUGGUUAAAAACCCUUCAUGGUAUAUUUGCUUUUUACAAAGGAAAUAAAAUCUGAGAAUUUGCUGUAUAAGCUUUAAUUCGAGAGUGCAUGAAUAGCAUAGCAGUUAGCUGUGGGCUAUGUUGAGAUGGUUCCCUAAUUAAUGCUAAAUCCCUCUUGAUAUGCAGCUUAUUUCUACAUCUUCAGUCAGGGAUUCACUGACUCACCAGCAGCUAAAUUGGGCUGUUGGAGAAAUGCUGAUGGGGAUCUAUGGCUCGUAUCAGAGCUUCGGCGUUGUAACAGCAUGUGGCUGCUAUCAUCAAAAUUACAUUUCCGGCUUAUGGCUGUGGAGCUUGUCACUGUCACUCUGUCCAACCUUAUCUUGCGUCCUUCUCUCUCGUGGAAGGGAAGGCAGAGGUCCCAGUGGCUCUGAAGCAUUAGAAUGUCGGGGUCAUAACGUGACCCAUCGUUGACACCUGCUGAAGUGGUCUCAUCCACAUUCCCCAACAGGCUUUUAUAGAUAUGAGGAGUGGGCUGGAGCUCCUGGCUUUGCCCUGGGAACAUGCUAAUGAAAUUCCAAACAGCAGCAUUAUAGGCUAGAUCACAAAAGUCCCUAUAAUUCUGACAUUAACCAGAUUAAGACAUCAGUCUGAAAAAAACACUGCUAUGCAAACAGCAUUUACUGAUAAUCUUAAGAAUGGCGUACUUGGACAAAUCCCAUCUAUUUUUAAAUAGAGAUUUUUUUUUUUUAAAUAAUUAGCCAUAAUUUUCUAACCAUCCAAGGUAGACUUACCCCAAGGUGCAUGGUUGUGAAACAAUACAAGUCUGUAUGAUAGCAGCUGUGUUUUAAGAAAAGCAUGUUUUAUUCUCAAUAUCAAGGAGAACACAAUAUCCACAAUCCUUAGGUGUAAUAAUGACGGCUGUGAUUGGUGGAUUUACU